This is a long non-coding RNA of Meriones unguiculatus (Mongolian gerbil), 3219 nucleotides long. RefSeq lists it as uncharacterized. The transcript has 3 exons. Lineage: Eukaryota; Metazoa; Chordata; Mammalia; Rodentia; Muridae. The record is from RefSeq and is a predicted model, not a curated record.
UUUUGGAUGGGAGAGGUGCGGAUGCAGGAUGAGGAGGUCCUCAGUGGCUGGAGUACGGAAAGAGUUGACAGCGGAAGCUCUGGCUCGGAAAUCAUGCUUAACUCCCCACAGUAGAUGUGUGACCUUGUGCAGAUGGCUUCAAACUUUGCCUCAAGUCUCUUCAUGUGUGAAACAAGGCCACAAUCGCUCCUGGGAUUGCUCUAAAGAAAGCAACACAUUUAAGUGGAAGAAAGCAAGGAAUGAACCAGAACUGGCCAGUCUCAAAGGAGGGAGAGCAGGAGACGGCAUCUCUUCACUCGUGGAAGGGAUAAAGAGAGGGAGGCGGAGGGAAAAAGGGUUUCUCUGUGUAGCUCCGGCUGACGUGGAUCUUGCUCUGUAGUCCAGGCUGGCUUCAAACUCGGAAAUCUGACUGCCUUUUGCCUCUUGAGUGCUGGAAUUAAAGAUGUGUGCCACCACCACUCAGUCCCAAAUUUGGCUUUUUGAGGAAAGGUGGCAAACCCAAGACCACGAGGAGCUGGCAGAGCUACUGAAGGUGUUGUGUAUUGGGCAUAGCAAGCAUGGAAAUGCCUGAGUUUCUUCACCUCUCCAGAAAGACUUCAGGUCGCCUCCACCCAGGACUUCAGCAGACUACAUUCCGGAAGCAUUUGAAAAUGGAGCGCGUGCACGUGCGCACACAGACACAGACACAGACGUACACAUGCUCAGGUGAGUGCACAACCCUUCCCCCCCCUCCAACUCUCUCAUUCUUGUGAUCACAGAUCGCAUCUGCCUUCCUUCCUGGGACCCAAUGAGGAACUCUGAAAAUCUUAAAGAGGAAGAAGAGCACUAUGUCCAGCACCAUAUUCGGCUGUGGUCAUAAAAGAUGGUUACCAGGCUAUAGGUCUCAGGUUUAAAGUUCAGGUUUCUUGCCAGUGACCAAGUUUGCUAAACAUCGCCACCUGCUGUCUGUCUCACGUCGCAAAGCUUGCCACCCAAAAGAAGCCUCGGGUUCAGUUAGAGGCAGAGAAAAGGAAGGUGGGCCAAACCUGUGGGCCAUUGUAAACCUUUUCCACAAACCCCAUUGACUUCCCAUAGCUCUAUGUUUCUUCCCUGGGCGGGACUACAGUGUGCCCCCACCCCGAAGCAUAGCCUCGUCAGCUUAAUACUGAAUAAACAGCUCACAGACCGAAAUUCUGCCACUGACUCUGUAGUGACUGACCCUAAAAUAUCUGGGAGGGUUAUUGCCGAGAUCUCCCCACCCCCACACAUGGUCCUGCUUUCUCUUUACGACAUGCCUUCCAUAGCCUAGGUUGUGAAGCCUAUGCCUCCCGAGUUCUGAGUAGCUGGGGGAUCUUUUUGAUCCCUUGAACUUCUGUCUGCUGGGGUUAUAGGUUUGUAUCCCUAAAUUCGUGAUUGUUUGUUGUUUAUUUGCUUGUGUGCUCUGGUGCUAGGGAUGGAACCCAGGGCUUUGUGCCUGCUAGGUAGGCACUGUGCCAACUAUAUCCCAAUCCCAGACCCGGGAGCUUUUCUCAAAGUUAUGAUAAACUCUGGGCUGGCAAGGUAGUGCAGUGGGUAAGGUGCCUGCUGCCUAGCCAGAUGACCCAGAUUUGAUCUCCAAGCCCCAUAUAAUGGAAGGAGAGAACUGACUCUGGAAAGUUGUUCUCUGAUCUCCACACAUGCACUAUGGCAUGAAUGUACACACACACACACACACACACACACACACACACACACCAAAAAGGAAGGAAGGAAGAGAGAGAGAGAGUAUUUUUUUAGGACAGUGUGUCACUAUGUUGCCACAGCUGUGGUAAAACACAAGAUCAUGCAUGGGAGCCCAUGCAUUCCAAGUCCUCUGGAUUUGUGGGCUGUGGGAUCUUGAGGUCAGCCUGGACACACAGUGAAUUCCAGCACAGCCUAAGUUACGUAGUAGUACACCAUCUCAAAGCGGACUGUUUUGUGUUAAGUCUCAAACCCUGGGACAAAUGCCUGAGAUGCCUAUGUAACAUAUCAAAGUGGACCUGGCUCUUAGGUUCUCCCAGAUUGCCUCAGUCCCUGCCUGUUACAGGGUAUGGCCUGCCUUCUACCCUGAGAAUCCCAGGAAGUGUGUUGUCUUUCCCCUAGAGGCUCUUCCAUAUAUAAUCCAGCCCUUUUGGUUACCUGAUACCUCUUCUUACCUUUUGCCCUCAUGGCUAUUGCAUCUGGUUCUCCCUCUACUCUCCCUGCCCCUUCCCCCUCUUUCACUUGGCUCAGGGGCAUGUCCACUCUGGACAUCUCCCAAUGUCCCUGCCUCUGGCUAUGCUCUCCCUUUUAUCUACAAUAAGUGAUCUCCUUCACCAUACCUAGGAGCAGUCAUGUUCUUUCCUAUCUUUUUAUUUGUCCAUUCAUCUUGGUGAAACACACAUAAAACUGCAUAGCCAAUUUUCAGAGCACUUUUUGCCAUAGUCCUAGCAGGAUUUCAGGGCCGCCUCUGCACUGUCAGUUACCCCUGCCAGGUCUAAGGAAGCUGCCAGUACUUCCCUAAUGAGGAUUUACUGAAACUGUGAAGCUUCUGCAAGCUCAGGACGUCCUGCUUUGAAGUUUCUCCACUGUCCAAGGGCUGUGCUUAAGCCAUGGUUGGUUGGUUGCUGUGUUCUCACCUUCCUACAGGCAGUGUUUAUAUCUCUGCAUUGGUGCCUUCUGCUCAGGUGAAGGCAGAGGGGAGUAGAGGCUUGUUUCCCUGUAGCUGUGACUCUGGGGUGAUGGCUUGGGAAGGUAAUGAAGAUGGGAUCUGUUCUACCAGGGUCUCUCAGCUACUGAGGAAAUACCAGAAGGGGGUCUAAGAGCUCCUGACAUUGCAUAUACGUUUUAUGUGCAUGUGAGAAUGUGUUUUUCUAAGGACAAAAGCUGGAGUCAUCAGAGAGGAAAUAGCCUCAGUUGAGAAAAUGUCUCCAUGAGAGCAAGCUGUAAGUUAUACGCUCUAUUAGUGAGCAAUGGGGGAGAGCCCAGUCCAUGGGGGAGGUGCCAUCCCUGGGCUGGUGGUCCUGGAUUCUAUAAGAAAGAAGGCUGAGCAAGCCACAGGGAACAAGCCAGUAAGCAGCACCUCUUCAUACCCUCUGCAUGAGCUCCUGACUCCAGGUUCCUGCCCUGCUUGAGUUCCUGUCCUGGCUUUCUUCAAUGAUGAGCAAUCCUGUGGAAGUGAAAGGUGAAUAAACACUUUCCUCUCCAAUUCGCUUUUUGGUCAUGGUGUUUUGUCUCAGCAAU